Molecule: ribosomal RNA, 482 nt
Filed under: uncultured Campylobacter sp.
Lineage: Bacteria; Pseudomonadati; Campylobacterota; Epsilonproteobacteria; Campylobacterales; Campylobacteraceae
Description: partial 16S ribosomal RNA
Source: RNAcentral
CACGGAGUUAGCCGGUGCUUAUUCCUUGGGUACCGUCAUAAUUCUUUCCCAAGAAAAGGAGUUUACGCUCCGAAAAGUGUCAUCCUCCACGCGGCGUUGCUGCUUCAGGGUUUCCCCCAUUGAGCAAUAUUCCCUACUGCUGCCUCCCGUAGGAGUCUGGACCGUGUCUCAGUUCCAGUGUGACUGAUCAUCCUCUCAGACCAGUUACGCGUCAUAGCCUUGGUAAGCCAUUACCUUACCAACUAGCUGAUACGAUAUAGCCCUAUCCAUUACCGAAAAACUUUCCCGUAUCUACUUAUAUAGAUACGGAGUAUAAGGUAUUAGCAGUCGUUUCCAACUGUUGUCCCUUAGUAAUGGGCAAGUUAGCUAUAUAUUACUCACCCGUGCGCCACUAAGAUUAAAUAGCAAGCUACUUAAUCUCCGUUCGACUUGCAUGUAUUAGGCACGCCGCCAGCGUUCACUCUGAGCCAGGAUCAAACUCU